CUGACAGACUUGGAAAGCUCUGUACAUCCACAGGACAGGUAGAAAACAGCAGUAGCAAGGCUGACAUGUCCACACUGCCCUCUUCAUGGUCUUCACCCUGAUCUGAAGUAGCCACCUCUAAGGAUGAGGAUAGAUUCCAGACUACUUAGCAUCUGGUCUCU
This 161-nucleotide small RNA is filed under the name Calidris pygmaea (Spoon-billed sandpiper). RNAcentral describes it as "TUC338 (ENSCPGG00000009422.1)". The record is from RNAcentral. Lineage: Eukaryota; Metazoa; Chordata; Aves; Charadriiformes; Scolopacidae.